UUCUAGCAUAUAUUAAAAUUGCUGCAGUUAAAACGCUCGUAGUUUGAAUUAUUUUCCAAAGAGAUGAUUGGAUGCCUGUGCGCGCUGCACGCGGAGCAAUCCCGGGUGGCGGGCGCGGUAAAAAAAAAUCCGUCGCUUUUUUGUGAAUUAUAUUAAAAGACCUCGGGUGAGGGCGCUUUAAGUAGGGCCCCAUCCAGUUAACCAUGAACAAAAAUUAUUGCUCAAAGAAGGACGGACAGUCCAUUGAGAUUUCAGCAUGGGAUUAUGGAAUAGGGGAAGAGAGCGUGGCGUGGCGGACUACGAGAGCCGCGGGGCUGCGCCUUUUUCAAUGGUUAAUGAGGACGAUUGCGUGGAAGUUCAUAUUAAAAUGUCAGAGGUGAAAUUCUUGGAUUAUUUUAAGAUGAACCUCAGCGAAGGCAUUCUUCAAGUGCGUGCCUGUCAA
RNAcentral lists this ribosomal RNA (442 nucleotides) under uncultured eukaryote. RNAcentral describes it as "partial 18S ribosomal RNA". It matches the Rfam family "Eukaryotic small subunit ribosomal RNA", at positions 592 to 976 of the family's 1831-position model. The record is from RNAcentral.